AUCCCAGACUCCUACGGGAGGCAGCAGUGGGGGAUAUUGCACAAUGGGGGGAACCCUGAUGCAGCGACGCCGCGUGGGUGAAGAAGCGCCUCGGCGCGUAAAGCCCUGUCAGCAGGGAAGAAAAUGACGGUACCUGAAGAAGAAGCCCCGGCUAACUACGUGCCAGCAGCCGCGGUAAUACGUAGGGGGCAAGCGUUAUCCGGAUUUACUGGGUGUAAAGGGAGCGUAGACGGCAGUGCAAGUCCGGAGUGAAAGCCCGGGGCUCAACCCUGGGACUGCUCUGGAAACUGUAAAGCUGGAGUGCGGGAGGGGCAGGCGGAAUUCCUGGUGUAGCGGUGAAAUGCGUAGAUAUUAGGAGGAACACCAGUGGCGAAGGCGGCUUACUGGACUGUAACUGACGUUGAGGCUCGAAAGCGUGGGGAGCAAACAGGAUUAGAUACCCGUGUA
RNAcentral lists this ribosomal RNA (447 nucleotides) under uncultured bacterium. RNAcentral describes it as "bacterial SSU rRNA". It matches the Rfam family "Bacterial small subunit ribosomal RNA", at positions 328 to 792 of the family's 1533-position model. The record is from RNAcentral.